AUACGUAGGUGGCAAGCGUUGUCCGGAUUUACUGGGCGUAAAGGGUGCGUAGGUGGAUAUUUAAGUGAGAUGUGAAAUCCCCGAGCUUAACUUGGGGCCUGCAUUUCAAACUGGAUAUCUAGAGUGCAGGAGAGGAAAGCAGAAUUCCUAGUGUAGCGGUGAAAUGCGUAGAGAUUAGGAAGAAUACCAGUGGCGAAGGCGGCUUUCUGGACUGUAACUGACGCUGAGGCAUGAAAGCGUGGGGAGC
RNAcentral lists this ribosomal RNA (247 nucleotides) under uncultured bacterium. RNAcentral's name for it is "partial 16S ribosomal RNA". It matches the Rfam family "Bacterial small subunit ribosomal RNA", at positions 523 to 769 of the family's 1533-position model. The record is from RNAcentral.